This 73-nucleotide transfer RNA is filed under the name bacterium. Its description in RNAcentral is "tRNA-Pro". It matches the Rfam family "tRNA". Rfam says of the family: Transfer RNA (tRNA) molecules are approximately 80 nucleotides in length. The record is from RNAcentral.
CGGGCUGUAGCUCAGUUGGUAGAGCGCGCGGUUCGGGACUGCGAGGUCGCAGGUUCAAAUCCUGUCAGCCCGA